GCAUUGCUGAAGAGCGCCAUAAUAGGACGAAACGACCGUCCAGUGC
RNAcentral lists this non-coding RNA (46 nucleotides) under Schistosoma margrebowiei. Lineage: Eukaryota; Metazoa; Platyhelminthes; Trematoda; Strigeidida; Schistosomatidae. The record is from RNAcentral.